Molecule: microRNA precursor, 142 nt
Filed under: Capsella rubella
Lineage: Eukaryota; Viridiplantae; Streptophyta; Magnoliopsida; Brassicales; Brassicaceae
Description: mir-166 microRNA precursor family
Rfam family: mir-166 microRNA precursor family
About the family: This family represents the plant microRNA (miRNA) precursor mir-166.
Source: Rfam by way of RNAcentral
UUUGCGGGGACUGUUGUCUGGCUCGAGGACUCUUACACUAAUACAAUCUAUCUCCAUUAUUUUCGAUGGUCGCAUCUCAGAUCUGAUGAUGAUGAUUGUUUAGGGUUUUAGCGUCGUCGGACCAGGCUUCAUUCCCCCCAAA